RNAcentral lists this long non-coding RNA (232 nucleotides) under Nicotiana benthamiana. Its description in RNAcentral is "long non-coding RNA (NBEN_LNC000922)". The record is from RNAcentral. Lineage: Eukaryota; Viridiplantae; Streptophyta; Magnoliopsida; Solanales; Solanaceae.
UGGACAUACUGAAGAUAUGCAAAUGGUGAAUACUACUGGACCUCAGCAGAUAUUAGAUGAACUAAGCAGAAUCACAGCAGCUUCAGGGGAUCUUCCUGUAACCAGUGAGGACAUAAGUGCAAUUGCAGAAAAAGGGAAGGCUGUGGCAACUAUUAUGGCUGAUGAUAGCAGGGGAUUCCAAGUGGAUCCAGGACCUUCUUGGAGUAUUAGAUCUAAUACUUCAUGAUUGUUA